This 500-nucleotide ribosomal RNA is filed under the name uncultured bacterium. Its description in RNAcentral is "partial 16S ribosomal RNA". It matches the Rfam family "Bacterial small subunit ribosomal RNA", at positions 30 to 523 of the family's 1533-position model. The record is from RNAcentral.
AUUGAACGCUGGCGGAAUGCUUUACACAUGCAAGUCGAACGGCAGCACGGGGGCAACCUUGGUGGCGAGUGGCGAACGGGUGAGUAACACAUCGGAACAUGCCCAGUCGUGGGGGAUAACGUAGCGAAAGUUACGCUAAUACCGCAUACGAUCUAGGGAUGAAAGCGGGGGACCGUAAGGCCUCGCGCGAUUGGAGUGGCCGAUGCCAGAUUAGGUAGUUGGUGGGGUAAAGGCUCACCAAGCCAACGAUCUGUAGCUGGUCUGAGAGGACGACCCGCCACACUGGGACUGAGACACGGCCCAGACUCCUACGGGAGGCAGCAGUGGGGAAUUUUGGACAAUGGGCGCAAGCCUGAUCCAGCCAUUCCGCGUGCAGGACGAAGGCCUUCGGGUUGUAAACUGCUUUUGUACGGAGCGAAAAGCCUUGGGUUAAUACCUCGGGGUCAUGACGGUACCGUAAGAAUAAGCACCGGCUAACUACGUGCCAGCAGCCGCAGUAA